RNAcentral lists this ribosomal RNA (1887 nucleotides) under human gut metagenome. RNAcentral describes it as "bacterial LSU rRNA". It matches the Rfam family "Bacterial large subunit ribosomal RNA", at positions 3 to 1985 of the family's 2925-position model. The record is from RNAcentral.
UCAAGCUAUAAAGAGCACAAGGGGAAUGCCUUGGCACUAGGAGCCGAAGAAGGACGUGACUAACUGCGAUAAGCUACGGGGAGUUGUAAGUAAACAUUGAUCCGUAGAUAUCCGAAUGGAGCAAUCCGGCUGUGGUCAUGCACAGUCAUCAUAUACUGAAUACAUAGGUAUAUGAGGGGAACCGCCUGAACUGAAACAUCUAAGUAGGGCGAGGAAGAGAAAUCAACCGAGAUUCCGCUAGUAGUGGCGAGCGAACGCGGAAGAGGCCAAACCAGAGGUAGAAAUACCUUUGGGGUUCGGACAACAUACGAUAUUGACAAUUUCUAGCUGAAUAGUGUGGGAAAGCUAACCGAAGAAGGUGAGAGUCCUGUAAGCGAAAGGAAGAGUCAGUCAGUUGUAUCCAGAGUACCGCCGGACACGUGAAACCCGGUGGGAAUACGGGGGGACCAUCCUCCAAGCCUAAAUACUACCUAGUGACCGAUAGAGAAGAAGUACUGUGAAGGAAAGGUGAAAAGCACCCCGGGAGGGGAGUGAAAGAGAACCUGAAACCUUGUGUUUACAAGCACCGAAAGUCCAUCAAAGGACGAUCGGGUACCUUUUGUAGAAUGGUCCGGCGAGUGUAUGUAUCUAGCAAGGUUAAGCACUUAAGGUGUGAAGCCAAAGCGAAAGCAAGUCUGAAUAGGGCGACAAGUUAGAUGUAUACGACCCGAAACCGGGUGACCUACCCAUGGCCAGGCUGAAGUGAAGGUAAAACUUCAUGGAGGGCCGAACCGACUCCCGUUGAAAUGGUAGCGGAUGAGUUGUGGGUAGCGGAGAAAUUCCAAUCGAACCCGGAGAUAGCUGGUUCUCUCCGAAAUAGCUUUAGGGCUAGCCUUGAAAUAGAUUACUGGAGGUAAAGCACUGAAUUGGCUAGGGGCCGAAAGGUUACUGAACCUUAUCAAACUCAGAAUGCCAGAUAAUCGUUUUUCAGGAGUCAGACGGUGGGAGAUAAGUUUCAUCGUCAAAAGGGAAACAGCCCAGACCCACAGCUAAGGUCCCAAAUUAUAGUUAAGUGGAGAAGGAUGUGGGAUUGCAUAGACAACCAGGAUGUUGGCUUAGAAGCAGCCACUCAUUAAAAGAGUGCGUAAUAGCUCACUGGUCGAGUGAUCCCGCGCCGAAAAUUUAACGGGGCUAAACUAUAAACCGAAGCUUGGGAUACCGCAAGGUAUGGUAGGAGAGCGUCAUGUAAGGGGUGAAGUCAUAGCGAAAGCGGUGGUGGACUUUACAUGAGUGAGAAUGCCGGAAUGAGUAGCGAGAAUUAAGUGAGAAUCUUAAUGGCCGAAAGUCUAAGGUUUUUGGAGGAAGGUUCGUCCGCUCCAAGUAAGUCGGGAGCUAAGGCGAGGCCGAAAGGCGUAGUCGAUGCACAUACGGUUGAUAUUCCGUAACCACUGACAACUUAAACAAAAUGACACUUUAGAAGGGCUUGACCCGGGUGCUGGUAAUCCCGGGCGUAAGGGACCGAAAUUUAGUAGGGAAGCAAGCUUGGAUGGAGGCGAGAAAAGUUUUGUGUAUGUAAUGUUGGUGCCCGUACCGCAAACCGACACAGGUGGACAGGAAGAGAAUUCUAAGGCCAGCGGGAGAAGGGUAGUUAAGGAACUCGGCAAAUUGACUCCGUAACUUCGGGAAAAGGAGUGCUCUCGAGAGAGAGCCGCAGUGAAUAGGCCCAGGCGACUGUUUAGCAAAAACACAGGUCUCUGCCAAAUCGAAAGAUGAAGUAUAGGGGCUGACACCUGCCCGGUGCUGGAAGGUUAAGAGGAGGAGUGAGAGCUCCGAAUUGAAGCCCCAGUAAACGGCGGCCGUAACUAUAACGGUCCUAAGGUAGCGAAAUUCCUUGUCGGGUAAGUUCCG